GUCGCCAAGUAUUGUGAAUUUCAAUCUACUAUUGAUGCAUCGUUAAAACGUAUCACGUAAUAUCACAGUAAUCAUUGAUGGUGGGAAUAAGUUUGACUACAAUAUUAUACGAUACAGCUGCCAGUAUGACAAAUGUAGAACGUAACUGCUGUUCAUCGAAAACUGAUACGUGAUUCGUCAACCAUGAGAACCUCUACAAAGUUCAAAUCUCCGUGCUAUCGCGGGCUUUGGAAAUGGCGGGAAGAGCUCUCUCGACCAAUCCGCUGACGGCUAGGCGACGCCAUGAUAGGGUGGGGUCAUUCUCCUUUUGUACGUCGCGGCAACUGG
Molecule: long non-coding RNA, 327 nt
Organism: Eufriesea mexicana
Lineage: Eukaryota; Metazoa; Arthropoda; Insecta; Hymenoptera; Apidae
Exons: 3
Source: RefSeq, a predicted model, not a curated record